GACGGAGGAUGCAAGCGUUAUCCGGAAUGCUUGGGCGUAAAGCGUUCGCAGGUGGCUGUUCAAGUCUGCUGUCAAAGACCGGGGCUUAACCCUAGAAAGGCAGUGGAAACUGGACGGCUGGAGUGCAGUAUGGGUAGAGGGAAUUCCCAGUGUAGAGGUGAAAUGCGUAGAGAUUGGGUAGAACACCGGUGGCGAAAGCGCUCUGCUGGACUGCAUCUGACAAUGAGGGACGAAAGCUAGGGGAGCGAAAGGG
Molecule: ribosomal RNA, 253 nt
Filed under: uncultured bacterium
Lineage: Bacteria
Description: partial 16S ribosomal RNA
Rfam family: Bacterial small subunit ribosomal RNA
Source: RNAcentral